RNAcentral lists this long non-coding RNA (432 nucleotides) under Physcomitrium patens. RNAcentral describes it as "long non-coding RNA (PPAT_LNC001008)". The record is from RNAcentral. Lineage: Eukaryota; Viridiplantae; Streptophyta; Bryopsida; Funariales; Funariaceae.
AGAUUUGAAUAGGAUUUGGUUAGAUUUUAUUGAGAGUUUGAUUAUAAUUUGGUUAGGAUUUGUUUAGGAUUUGAUUAGGUUUUGAUAAAGGUUUAUUAAGGAUUUGGUUAGGAUUUGUUUAGGGUUUUUUUUAGGAUUUGACUAGGAUUUGUUUAUGAUUUGACUAAGAUUUAUUUAUAAUUUGAUUAGAAUUUAUUUAGGAUUUGACUAGAGUUUGGUUAAGAUUUGUUUAGAAUUUGUUUAGAAUUUGUUUAGGAUUUGAUUAGAGUUUGGUUAAGAUUUGUUUAGAAUUUGUUUAGAAUUUAUUUAGGAUUUGAUUAGGAUUUGUUUAGGAUUUGAUUAGGAUUUUUUUAGGAUUUGAUUAGGAUUUUUUAGGAUUUAUUUAGGAUUUAGUUAGGAUUUAUUUAGGAUUUAGUUAGGAUUUGAUUAAGU